Molecule: ribosomal RNA, 408 nt
Filed under: uncultured bacterium
Lineage: Bacteria
Description: partial 16S ribosomal RNA
Rfam family: Bacterial small subunit ribosomal RNA
Source: RNAcentral
GACGAACGCUGGCGGCGUGCUUAACACAUGCAAGUCGAACGAAGUGGCGAACGGGUGAGUAACGCGUAAUCAACCUGCCCUUCAGAGGGGGAAAACAGUUGGAAACGACUGCUGAUACCGCAUACUGAAGGAGGGGAUUGCGUCUGAUUAGCUAGUUGGCUGGGUAAAGGCCCACCAAGGCGAUGAACAGUAGCCGGUCUGGGAGGAUGAACGGCCACCUUGGGACGGGGACACGGCCCAGACUCCUACGGGAGGCAGCAGUGGGGAAUCUGCCGCAAUGGAGGAAAGUCUGACGGAGCAACGCCGCGUGAGUGAUGACGGCCUUCUGGUUGUAAAGCUCUGUUAAUCGGGACGCGGUACCGGAAUAGAAAGCCACGGCUAACUACGUGCCAGCAGCCGCGGUAAUAC